UCUAAAUGCCAUAAGGAGAUGAACCUUGU
Molecule: non-coding RNA, 29 nt
Filed under: Rattus norvegicus (Norway rat)
Lineage: Eukaryota; Metazoa; Chordata; Mammalia; Rodentia; Muridae
Source: RNAcentral